Molecule: ribosomal RNA, 253 nt
Filed under: uncultured bacterium
Lineage: Bacteria
Description: partial 16S ribosomal RNA
Rfam family: Bacterial small subunit ribosomal RNA
Source: RNAcentral
UACGGAGGGUGCAAGCGUUAUCCGGAUUUACUGGGUUUAAAGGGUGCGCAGGCGGAUAUGUAAGUCAGUGGUGAGAUCUCCAGGCUUAACCUGGAAAUUGCCGUUGCUACUAUAUAUCUUGAAUGCUGUGGAGGUAAGCGGAAUAUGUCAUGUAGCGGUGAAAUGCUUAGAGAUGACAUAGAACACCUAUUGCGAAGGCAGCUUACUACGCAGAUAUUGACGCUCAUGCACGAAAGCGUGGGGAGCAAACAGG